AUUGAACGCUGGCGGCAUGCCUUACACAUGCAAGUCGAACGGUAACGGGCCUUCGGGUGCCGACGAGUGGCGAACGGGUGAGUAAUGUAUCGGAACGUGCCCAGUCGUGGGGGAUAACGCAGUGAAAGCUGUGCUAAUACCGCAUACGAUCUACGGAUGAAAGCGGGGGAUCGCAAGACCUCGCGCGAUUGGAGCGGCCGAUAUCAGAUUAGGUAGUUGGUAGGGUAAAAGCCUACCAAGCCAACGAUCUGUAGCUGGUCUGAGAGGACGACCAGCCACACUGGAACUGAGACACGGUCCAGACUCCUACGGGAGGCAGCAGUGGGGAAUUUUGGACAAUGGGCGCAAGCCUGAUCCAGCAAUGCCGCGUGCAGGAUGAAGGCCUUCGGGUUGUAAACUGCUUUUGUACGGAACGAAAAGGUCUGCCCUAAUACGGCGGGCCCAUGACGGUACCGUAAGAAUAAGCACCGGCUAACUACGUG
RNAcentral lists this ribosomal RNA (482 nucleotides) under uncultured bacterium. Its description in RNAcentral is "bacterial SSU rRNA". It matches the Rfam family "Bacterial small subunit ribosomal RNA", at positions 30 to 507 of the family's 1533-position model. The record is from RNAcentral.